GAUGAAGAACGUAGCGAAAUGCGAUACGUAAUGUGAAUUGCAGAAUUCAGUGAAUCAUCGAAUCUUUGAACGCACAUUGCGCCCCCUGGUAUUCCGGGGGGCAUGCCUGUCCGAGCGUCAUUGCUGCCCUCAAGCACGGCUUGUGUGUUGGGCCCCGUCCUCCGAUCCCGGGGGACGGGCCCGAAAGGCAGCGGCGGCACCGCGUCCGGUCCUCGAGCGUAUGGGGCUUUGUCACCCGCUCUGUAGGCCCGGCCGGCGCUUGCCGAUCAACCCAAAUUUUUUAUCCAGGUUGACCUCGGAUCAGGUAGGGAUACCCGCUGAACUUAAGCAUAUCAAUAAGCGGAGGA
Molecule: unclassified non-coding RNA, 347 nt
Filed under: soil metagenome
Description: partial contains 5.8S ribosomal RNA, internal transcribed spacer 2, and large subunit ribosomal RNA
Rfam family: 5.8S ribosomal RNA (bases 1-120)
Source: RNAcentral